UUUUUUUUUUUUUUGUUACCUUGAGUUUGUGGCUCUUUAAGUUGAGAAGUGCACCUUCUGAGCUUUAAAUGGAACAUCUUUUCAGUGCAUCAUGGAUUAUAAGAUGCUCAGUGUUUCUUAAAGGCUUAAAUUUCUCAUUACUGCUAAGUUUGGGAAUGAGCAGCAGUUAAUCUAGGAACUUCUAAAUGAUGAAAUGCAGUUGUAACUCUGCUGAAGCAUUGAAGAGAACAGUUUUCUUGUAGAACCAUUGGCCAAUUAAAUAUGAUUAUUGUAUAAAUACAUAUAAAUAUAAUAAUUAAAAUUAACCAAUAAAAUAUGAAGUUCUGAAUAUUAAAGUAAGAAAUCUAGAAAUGGUUUUGCUGUCUUAGAAGGUGCUUGCUAAUGUGAAGUAGUGGUUCAAAAAAUUACAAUUAUAAGUCAAUGUGAUGUGUAAGAAUGAAUUGACCUUAGCUCCUGUUGUACAGCAGAGGUAUCUUAAUUCUGAACAUUGCUAGCUAACAAGGGCAUUUAAUCAAGAAAUAUAUAUAUAUAUAUAUAUAUAUAUAUAUUUUUGAGAAAAAUAAGGAUGUACUGCUUGCUGUUAGUAGCUAAUUAAACUUUAUAUUGCAGCAGAUGUUGUACAGCAUCAAACCCUUCCAGCCUUUAAACUGUUUGUUGUGUGCUGGUGGAUUGGUCUUUCACUGUGCAGGUGUUUCUUUACUGCGGAGUUUGCCUGUAAUGUGAACUGGCUGUGUUUGUCUUGCAUGGACAAAAUACCCAUUGCCUAUCUUGAUUUGGCUUUGUGAACUUUCUUUGUGUACAGCAAUAUAACCGGUCAUUUCAUGCUCUUUAGGGAGAGUUUUGCAAAUCCCAGUUUAAUAGUUCCUAGUUUACUCCAUCUGUUGAUACACUGCCAGUAUUCAACUCUGUGUAGUAAAUCUUUGUGAAGUUCUUCCUCAUAAUCCAUAUAGGCUGAAAUCUUAAACUGUAUUCUGUUCUGUAAAUCAUUUAUCUCUGUGCUUUUUAAAAAGUGGCCUACCUUUCCCCUUGAGGCCAUUGGUCUUGAAUGUAUUUAUUUUUCUGGCAGAGAGCCAUGAAUGAAUCAUAGCCCAGAGCAGCUUACAGUCUGAACUCCUCUCUAUUGUUAAUAUAAAAUACUUCAUGCGGUUGUUACAGUGUUAUGCUAUGUAAAACUUUUAAGAGAAGAGAGAUUGAUUUCAGACAUGCUAGUUGCUUUUGAAGUUUCCCAACAGUAUGUGGAAGUGAUUUCUUAUGGUCGUGCAGCUGUAAUUCACUAAAAUCACUAGUUGCAUGGGAAGUUAGUACAUGAGAAUGUUACUCUGUCACAGUGCAGUGUGUUUGUUCUUUUGUGAAAAUAGUCACACCAGCUUUUCAUUCCAUUUGUAACUUUCCUGUUUGUACCUCCCUGCUCUGUUUCCAUAUUGCUUUAUUUUUUUAAUUGUUCUUGAAUUAAUUCACAAGCCUUUUGUUCUGUUCUUCAGACACCCCUCGUUUCUGGCUUGGCCAUUCUGCUGUGGAUAUUGUUUCAUGCUCCAUCCUCUCUUUUUCUGGACAUGAUUUAUUUCUUGAUGUUUAAAAGGCGUCUUUGUGCUGAAGAGCCUGGGCCCAAUCAAAGUACCAAGGAUUUCCAUAGAUAAAAAUCUACAACAUGGCUGUUAACUGAUCCUGCCUGCUUUAGAGAAGAGGCUGUGUUUUAUUCCUGCAUGUUUUAACAGUUUAUUCAGGCUUUUUAAAUCAGAAAAGAAAUGAGUUCAGUUUUAGUACAUGAAGGUGAAGCUUCAGACUGUACAGUUACAUUGUUCAUGUAUAAACAGAUAUCUCAGUUACAUCUUUUAAGUCUAGCCUAAGAACUUGGUGUCACUUUUACCUUCACAAUCCCUUGCUCUGCCACAACCUUCCCAUCAGUGUUGGAUAGCUGUUUUGACAGUUGCUCAUAUUUUUCUGAGAAAAUGAAGGUCAUGCAGCUGCAACGAUGAAUAUUCUGGUAUGUCUGAAACUUCAUGCAAAUGGAAUGGCUAUCAUGAGGGUUCUUCCUGAUUUUAAAUUUGAAUAGAAUUUGGUUCUUAGCUGCUGCAACCAUAAGGGGUUGUUGUUAGAAGUCAAUAAAUUGUACAUAACGUUCUGGCUCCUGCUUCCUUCACCUGUCUUUUUUUUUUUUUUUUGUACCAUCAGGCCCUCUUUGAAAGUCUUGAGCCUCAUGUUUAAAGCACCUCCUCUAUUCCCCUGAACUAAGUAAACCAUUAAGUUAAAUGUGUCAUUUUAGCUUUAUUGAAUUAAUUUGUAUUACUUCUCUUACACUGAGCCUAUUUAGCUCUAUUGGUUUACUCGGUAAAUGUGGAAGGCUGUGUUCCCACAGAGUGGAUUUUUUUUUUUAAUCUCUGUCUCCUGCCAAAGUUUCUCCAAACCUCCUAUUUUAAAAUCAGUAGUGAAACAUGAGAAGGAGACAUUCAGUAUGUGGUGGUGUUUUUUUUUUCCUUCAUGUUGCCAUCCUCAAAUUAUCUUGCUCUUAGCAGUGAUGAAACGUCUGGCUCGGUCCCUGUAGAAGACAAGACUGAGAGCCAAGAAGUCAGUAGCUUUGAAUGCCUUGAGAGGGGUGCAGGAGAGGGGGGAGGAGCCGAUUUCAGAAUCCUCUCGAUGUCUCAUCUCUCCCAGUGUCUCAUCUCAUGACCCUGUUGGAGUGCACUGCGUUCUGAGGGGAGGCUUUUUAAAAUUGAGCUAUUUUCAUACUGAAGUCUCGUUGAUCUCGUUUCUUUAAUUGCCUUACAAGUCUGGCGUUGAGACAUACACAUCCUGGAUGAGGAGGUUCUGCAUGCUUAUGGCAAACUCUUACCCUCAUCCUUAGUUUAAUCAUUUAAAGAUGCAUCUCUGUUUCCUUUCUAGCUUUCUAGUAAUUUCGGUAGGAAUCUUUCCAAUAGCAGGUUACUUUUAUCUAGUAAUUUGCUGGUAGUGUCUUUGAUUUAGAAACGGUUCUGUUGACUAAAAACUUUUUCUUGCAGCUUUGAAAUAUAUGUAAAUUAUGUAGUUUACACUGAUUUAGUACAUAAGCUCAAAGCAAUUUUGCAUCUGAUCAUGAAAUGUAACCUGUUCAUUAUUUUAGUGAUCCCAGUUAAAAAUAAAAUUUGCUAAAAUUUGUUUUUUUAUCUGAGAAAAUUGUAAGAAGAACCUAACAGGAAGUGAAAUCUAUUAGAUGCAUGUGAUAACUGCACAAGUAGGGGAGAAAAAUCAGGGAAAAAUGUAUAACUUAUUCUGAAUAUGUAACUACAUCUGUGUAUCACUGAUUGUACUGAGUUUAUCACUCAGGGUUUUGCAGUGAACCAUUUGUGUCCAUUUUAUCAUUAUUAAUGAACUUGGACAAAACUUCUACAAAUUAAAACCAGUGGGUUAAUGCUGAAGAGUGCUUUUAAUCUGUCAAUCUGACACUCCUUUUUCUGCUUAGGUAUCUCAUCUUUUUUCAUCUUAUGGGAAUCACCAUAGGGUACAAUCUUCUUUCCUGGAACAAAGCAAGCAAAAGUACCUGUGGUUAAAUGUUCUGAAACAACAGUUAGUGGUGCUCAUGUUUCUGUUCAGCUCGGGAAGUAUUUUACUGUUUGCUUUAAGAUUGUGCUUCUGUUCUGACCCUGCUCCAACUGAAAUUACAGAGUCUCUUUUAAUCUUCCUUUGGAUGAUGGGGCAGACAAUAAUGAAGAGGGCAAGCUUUGUCUUGAAGCAGGUAAUAAAUAACCAACUCCAUCAA
Centrocercus urophasianus (Greater sage-grouse) is the source of this 3733-nucleotide long non-coding RNA. RefSeq lists it as uncharacterized. The record is from RefSeq and is a predicted model, not a curated record. Lineage: Eukaryota; Metazoa; Chordata; Aves; Galliformes; Phasianidae. The transcript is spliced from 2 exons.